UACGUAGGUGGCAAGCGUUGUCCGGAUUUAUUGGGUUUAAAGGGUGCGUAGGUGGUCUAUUAAGUCAGUGCUGAAAUAUCCCGGCUUAACCGGGAGGGUGGCAUUGGUACUGAUGGACUUGAGUAGAGUUGAGGUAGGCGGAAUUGACGGUGUAGCGGUGAAAUGCUUAGAUAUCGUCAAGAACACCUAUUGCGAAGGCAGCUUACUAAGCUCUAACUGACACUGAGGCACGAAAGUGUGGGGAUCAAACAGG
RNAcentral lists this ribosomal RNA (253 nucleotides) under uncultured bacterium. RNAcentral's name for it is "partial 16S ribosomal RNA". It matches the Rfam family "Bacterial small subunit ribosomal RNA", at positions 524 to 776 of the family's 1533-position model. The record is from RNAcentral.